AUGGACACGCUUUGCUCCACACUCCUGCUGCUGACCAACCCUUCCUGGGUCUUGUCCCAGGUCACCUUGAAGGAGUCUGGUCCUGCGCUGGUGAAACCCACAGAGACCCUCAUGCUGACCUGCACUGUCUCUGGGCUCUCACUCAGCACUUCUGGAAUGGGUAUGAGCUGGAUCCGUCAGCCCCCAGGGAAGGCCCUGGAGUGGCCUGCACACAUUUUUUUGAAUGACAAAAAUUCCUACAGCACGUCUCUGAAGAACAGGCUCACCAUCUCCAAGGACACCUCCAAAAGCCAGGUGGUCCUUACCAUGACCAACAUGGAUCCUGUGGACACAGCCACGUAUUACUGCGCAUGGAGAGCAUAG
This is a non-coding RNA of Pongo pygmaeus (Bornean orangutan), 363 nucleotides long. Lineage: Eukaryota; Metazoa; Chordata; Mammalia; Primates; Hominidae. The record is from the annotation of a RefSeq genome assembly.